Molecule: transfer RNA, 72 nt
Filed under: Mesorhizobium sp. M4A.F.Ca.ET.022.05.2.1
Lineage: Bacteria; Pseudomonadati; Pseudomonadota; Alphaproteobacteria; Hyphomicrobiales; Phyllobacteriaceae
Also listed under: 1 other name
Description: tRNA-Val
Rfam family: tRNA
About the family: Transfer RNA (tRNA) molecules are approximately 80 nucleotides in length. Their secondary structure includes four short double-helical elements and three loops (D, anti-codon, and T loops).
Source: RNAcentral
AGGCGACUUCAGGCGGAGAGCACUGCAUUGACAUUGCAGGGGUCACAAGUUCAAUCCUUGUCACGCCCACCA